AGAGAUGCAUUGGGUUUAAAGGGUGCGCAGGCAGUUUUGUAAGACAGAGGUGAAAUCCCCGGGCUCAACCUGGGAACUGCCUUUGUGACUGCAAGGCUGGAGUGCGGCAGAGGGGGAUGGAAUUCCGCGUGUAGCAGUGAAAUGCGUAGAUAUGCGGAGGAACACCGAUGGCGAAGGCAAUCCCCUGGGCCUGCACUGACGCUCAUGCACGAAAGCGUGGGGAGCAAACA
Molecule: ribosomal RNA, 230 nt
Filed under: uncultured Alicycliphilus sp.
Lineage: Bacteria; Pseudomonadati; Pseudomonadota; Betaproteobacteria; Burkholderiales; Comamonadaceae
Description: partial 16S ribosomal RNA
Rfam family: Bacterial small subunit ribosomal RNA
Source: RNAcentral